UUUCCGUAGGGGGGACUUGGGGAAGGUCCAUUA
RNAcentral lists this ribosomal RNA (33 nucleotides) under Candida albicans. Its description in RNAcentral is "partial 18S ribosomal RNA". Lineage: Eukaryota; Fungi; Ascomycota; Pichiomycetes; Serinales; Debaryomycetaceae. The record is from RNAcentral.